GAUGGAGCAACGCCGCGUGAGUGAAGAAGGCUUUCGGGUCGUAAAACUCUGUUGUUGGAGAAGAAUGGUCGGCAGAGUAACUGUUGUCGGCGUGACGGUAUCCAACCAGAAAGCCACGGCUAACUACGUGCCAGCAGCCGCGGUAAUACGUAGGUGGCAAGCGUUAUCCGGAUUUAUUGGGCGUAAAGCGAGCGCAGGCGGUUUUUUAAGUCUGAUGUGAAAGCCCUCGGCUUAACCGAGGAAGUGCAUCGGAAACUGGGAAACUUGAGUGCAGAAGAGGACAGUGGAACUCCAUGUGUAGCGGUGAAAUGCGUAGAUAUAUGGAAGAACACCAGUGGCGAAGGCGGCUGUCUGGUCUGUAACUGACGCUGAGGCUCGAAAGCAUGGGUAGCGAACAGGAUUAGAUACCCUGGUAGUCCAUGCCGUAAACGAUGAAUGCUAGGUGUUGGAGGGUUUCCGCCCUUCAGUGCCGCAGCUAACGCAUUAAGCAUUCCGCCUGGGGAGUACGACCGCAAGGUUGAAACUCAAAGGAAUUGACGGGGGCCCGCACAAGCGGUGGAGCAUGUGGUUUAAUUCGAAGCAACGCGAAGAACCUUACCAGGUCUUGACAUCU
This 613-nucleotide ribosomal RNA is filed under the name Lacticaseibacillus rhamnosus. Its description in RNAcentral is "bacterial SSU rRNA". It matches the Rfam family "Bacterial small subunit ribosomal RNA", at positions 385 to 989 of the family's 1533-position model. The record is from RNAcentral. Lineage: Bacteria; Bacillati; Bacillota; Bacilli; Lactobacillales; Lactobacillaceae.